GAUGAAGAACGCAGCGAAAUGCGAUAAGUAAUGUGAAUUGCAGAAUUCAGUGAAUCAUCGAAUCUUUGAACGCACAUUGCGCCCCUUGGUAUUCCGAGGGGCAUGCCUGUUCGAGCGUCAUUAUAACCCCUCAAGCUCAGCUUGGUGUUGGGGCCUGCUGCACUGGCAGCCCUUAAAAUCAGCGGCGGCGCCAUCUGGCUCUAAGCGUAGUAAUUCUUCUCGCUAUGGAGUCCUGGUGGAUGCUUGCCAUCAACCCCCAAUUUUUCUAUGGUUGACCUCGGAUCAGGUAGGGAUACCCGCUGAACUUAAGCAUAUCAAUAAGCGGAGGA
Molecule: unclassified non-coding RNA, 329 nt
Filed under: soil metagenome
Description: partial contains 5.8S ribosomal RNA, internal transcribed spacer 2, and large subunit ribosomal RNA
Rfam family: 5.8S ribosomal RNA (bases 1-120)
Source: RNAcentral